Molecule: long non-coding RNA, 527 nt
Organism: Pezoporus occidentalis (night parrot)
Lineage: Eukaryota; Metazoa; Chordata; Aves; Psittaciformes; Psittacidae
Exons: 2
Source: RefSeq, a predicted model, not a curated record
CCCCGGUGGCCUGCCUGGGAUCGGUUGGGUUCAGCGCUGCUGCGUGGGUGCUUGCACGGCGGCGGGAGCAGCGGUGCGAAGAGAAAAAAGCUGAAGCUUAGAAAAGGGAACAGGAGAGACACCCUCUGUGAAGUCCGUAUGCUGAAUGCACCUGUAAACACUGUUUUCCUAACAGAAAGCACAGCAAAGUGUAAGGCACCAACUGAAGCUCAAUCCUGCAGGCUGUCUCUCCAGGAACCCUCUGCUGUGCUGCAGUCAGAGGAUGCAUCUUCCCACUGACAGUUGGCUGCUGUGAAUAACUGCUGUAUUCUCUCAUUUCUGUUUUCUUCUGUCUCACCAGGAGCCUGUGAUUACUGUUUUGUUGUACAAGAAGUCCUGUGCCUUCCAAAACUUCAGCUGCCAAUACUAAAUGAUAUUAAAAGGCCCAUCUGUCUGAGAACAAAAAAUUCUGUCAGAGCUACCUGAAGCAUCGUAUUUCUCUGUAAUCUGAUACCUAUGACUUAUUAAAAUCUGAAGGUUUAACUAUC